This 442-nucleotide ribosomal RNA is filed under the name uncultured bacterium. Its description in RNAcentral is "bacterial SSU rRNA". It matches the Rfam family "Bacterial small subunit ribosomal RNA", at positions 28 to 475 of the family's 1533-position model. The record is from RNAcentral.
GACGAACGCUGGCGGCGUGCCUAACACAUGCAAGUCGAGCGGGAACCUCAGGAGGGGUAACCCACCUGAGGGGAGAGCGGCGAACGGGUGAGUAUCACGUGGGCAACCUGCCCCGGACACCGGGAUAACCCAGGGAAACCUGAGCUAAUACCGGAUACUCCGGAGCGACCACAUGGUCGCUCCGGGAAAGCCUUGACGGUCCGGGAUGGGCCCGCGGCCUAUCAGCUUGUUGGUGGGGUAAUGGCCCACCAAGGCGACGACGGGUAGCUGGUCUGAGAGGACGGCCAGCCACACUGGGACUGAGACACGGCCCAGACUCCUACGGGAGGCAGCAGUGGGGAUCUUGCGCUAAUGCGCGAAAGCGUGACGCAGCGACGCCGCGUGGGGAUGAAGGCCCUCGGGUUGUAAACCCCUUUCGGCAGGGACGAAGCGAAAGUGACGU